UACGUAGGUGGCAAGCGUUGUCCGGAAUUAUUGGGCGUAAAGCGCGCGCAGGCGGUCCUUUAAGUCUGAUGUGAAAGCCCUCGGCUCAACCGAGGAGGGUCAUUGGAAACUGGAGGACUUGAGUGCAGAAGAGGAAAGUGGAAUUCCAAGUGUAGCGGUGAAAUGCGUUGAGAUUUGGAGGAACACCAGUGGCGAAGGCGACUUUCUGGUCUGUAACUGACGCUGAGGCGCGAAAGCGUGGGGAGCAAACAGG
This 253-nucleotide ribosomal RNA is filed under the name uncultured bacterium. RNAcentral's name for it is "partial 16S ribosomal RNA". It matches the Rfam family "Bacterial small subunit ribosomal RNA", at positions 524 to 776 of the family's 1533-position model. The record is from RNAcentral.